Molecule: transfer RNA, 85 nt
Filed under: Beijerinckiaceae bacterium
Lineage: Bacteria; Pseudomonadati; Pseudomonadota; Alphaproteobacteria; Hyphomicrobiales; Beijerinckiaceae
Description: tRNA-Leu
Rfam family: tRNA
About the family: Transfer RNA (tRNA) molecules are approximately 80 nucleotides in length.
Source: RNAcentral
GGCCCCUUGGCGAAACUGGUAAACGCAGUCGACUUAAAAUCGACCGCCUCACGGCUUGCGGGUUCGACCCCCGCAGGGGCCACCA